GAUGAACGCUGGCGGCGUGCUUAACACAUGCAAGUCGAACGAAGCACUUUUACAGAUUUCUUCGGAAUGAAGUUUUAGUGACUGAGUGGCGGACGGGUGAGUAACGCGUGGGUAACCUGCCUCACACAGGGGGAUAACAGUUGGAAACGGCUGCUAAUACCGCAUAAGCGCACAGUACCGCAUGGUACAGUGUGAAAAACUCCGGUGGUGUGAGAUGGACCCGCGUCUGAUUAGCUAGUUGGCAGGGCAA
This 250-nucleotide ribosomal RNA is filed under the name uncultured bacterium. RNAcentral's name for it is "partial 16S ribosomal RNA". It matches the Rfam family "Bacterial small subunit ribosomal RNA", at positions 28 to 260 of the family's 1533-position model. The record is from RNAcentral.